AGUGAACGCUGGCGGUAGGCCUAACACAUGCAAGUCGAACGGCAGCACAGUAAGAGCUUGCUCUUACGGGUGGCGAGUGGCAGACGGGUGACGAAUACAUCGGAAUCUACUUUUUCGUGGGGGAUAACGUAGGGAAACUUACGCUAAUACCGCAUACGACCUACGGGUGAAAGCAGGGGAUCUUCGGACCUUGCGCGAUUGAAUGAGCCGAUGUCGGAUUAGCUAGUUGGCGGGGUAAAGGCCCACCAAGGCGACGAUCCGUAGCUGGUCUGAGAGGAUGAUCAGCCACACUGGAACUGAGACACGGUCCAGACUCCUACGGGAGGCAGCAGUGGGGAAUAUUGGACAAUGGGCGCAAGCCUGAUCCAGCCAUACCGCGUGGGUGAAGAAGGCCUUCGGGUUGUAAAGCCCUUUUGUUGGGAAAGAAAAGCAGCAGGUUAAUACCCCGCUGUUCUGACGGUACCCAAAGAAUAAGCACCGGCUAACUUCGUG
Molecule: ribosomal RNA, 492 nt
Filed under: uncultured bacterium
Lineage: Bacteria
Description: partial 16S ribosomal RNA
Rfam family: Bacterial small subunit ribosomal RNA
Source: RNAcentral